AGAGUUUGAUCAUGGCUCAGAUUGAACGCUGGCGGCAUGCCUUACACAUGCAAGUCGAACGGCAGCACGGGAGCUUGCUCCUGGUGGCGAGUGGCGAACGGGUGAGUAAAGCAUCGGAACGUACCUUGUCGAGGGGGAUAACGCAGCGAAAGUUGUGCUAAUACCGCAUACGUCCUGAGGGAGAAAGCGGGGGACCGCAAGGCCUCGCGCGAUGAGAGCGGCCGAUGUCAGAUUAGCUAGUUGGUGAGGUAAAGGCUCACCAAGGCGACGAUCUGUAGCGGGUCUGAGAGGAUGAUCCGCCACACUGGGACUGAGACACGGCCCAGACUCCUACGGGAGGCAGCAGUGGGGAAUUUUGGACAAUGGGGGAAACCCUGAUCCAGCCAUGCCGCGUGAGUGAAGAAGGCCUUCGGGUUGUAAAGCUCUUUCGGCCGGGAAAA
Molecule: ribosomal RNA, 440 nt
Filed under: uncultured bacterium
Lineage: Bacteria
Description: bacterial SSU rRNA
Rfam family: Bacterial small subunit ribosomal RNA
Source: RNAcentral